Molecule: ribosomal RNA, 492 nt
Filed under: uncultured bacterium
Lineage: Bacteria
Description: partial 16S ribosomal RNA
Rfam family: Bacterial small subunit ribosomal RNA
Source: RNAcentral
AGUGAACGCCGGCGGUAGGCCUAACACAUGCAAGUCGAACGGCAGCACAGUAAGAGCUUGCUCUUACGGGUGGCGAGUGGCGGACGGGUGAGGAAUACAUCGGACUCUACUUUUUCGUGGGGGAUAACGUAGGGAAACUUACGCUAAUACCGCAUACGACCUACGGGUGAAAGCAGGGGAUCUUCGGACCUUGCGCGAUUGAAUGAGCCGAUGUCGGAUUAGCUAGUUGGCGGGGUAAAGGCCCACCAAGUCGACGAUCCGUAGCUGGUCUGAGAGGAUGAUCAGCCACACUGGAACUGAGACACGGUCCAGACUCCUACGGGAGGCAGCAGUGGGGAAUAGUGGACAAUGGUCGCAAGCCUGAUCCAGCCAGACCGCGUGUGUGAAGAAGGCCUUCGGGUUGUAAAGUCCGUUUGUUGGGAAAGAAAAGCAGCAGGUUAAUACCCCGCUGUUCUGACGGUACCCAAAGAAUAAGCACCGGCUAACUUCGUG